AUUACAGUUUCACUACUUUUUGUUGCUUCAUGCUCAAUUCCAUUUUUUUUUGGAGUUUUGUUUCCGAUAUCAUCACUUUUAGAGCCAGCCCUUGCUCUUUUUUUUAUAGACAUACUUGUGUAAAAUCAAAAUGCAAGUCCAAGGAAUUUUUCAAAGUUCGCUAGGAAACAUAGUGAAGUAGUUUAAGCCUCUGCUAAAACAGUUUGACGAUA
This is a non-coding RNA of Schizosaccharomyces pombe (fission yeast), 212 nucleotides long. The record is from the annotation of a GenBank genome assembly. Lineage: Eukaryota; Fungi; Ascomycota; Schizosaccharomycetes; Schizosaccharomycetales; Schizosaccharomycetaceae.